GGCGCAGUCCGCGGCAGGGUUCCGGCCGUGCUGCGGUCCGCACGCUGCGCCCGCUCCCGCCUGCCUCCCGCCCUACCCCCCACCCUCCCC
Molecule: long non-coding RNA, 90 nt
Filed under: Human betaherpesvirus 5
Lineage: Duplodnaviria; Heunggongvirae; Peploviricota; Herviviricetes; Herpesvirales; Orthoherpesviridae
Description: RNA4.9
Source: RNAcentral